AAACAGAAGAAACACCCAUUGAAGGUCCACUCUCUAACGAUGAGUGUUCAGUAACGGGUAGAAAUAUUUUCAUAGGAUUUUUUGUUGUUCUAAUAGUGGCACAAGUUAUGGAAUGUGUAAUAGGUUUUGUCCUUUUUCGAAAAGGUAGACUUGUGUUUACAAAACAAAGGUCGUACGAAGACGUCAAACGGAACCAUAUCGAAGGACAGGCAUACAAUACAAUGAACAAAGGAACAAACGAAACAACCAUGGAACAGAUAUAUGAUGAUGUUAAAUACUGAUUACCUAGUACAUUAUGUCAUUACAUAAUUGCAAGUAAAGAGGCAGUACCAGAAUAUAAGAACUAAAACAAGGAAUAUCACAGUCAAAUUGUUAUAAAAAUAUUUCUUUUCUUACCAAUGUUUUCAUAUAUCAUAAAUUUUGUUUUAGGCUGCAGGGGUAAUAUAUAUACUUCUUGUUAUUCUCAUAUUGUGAACAUCAUAUCGUAUCUAUAUUUUGAAUAUAACAGUUAAAAAAAUUACGAAAGCGCAAUUAGGCAAGUCUAUACACCAACAAAAUCAGUAUGCCAACAGCGAAUACAAAACUUCAUAUUUAGGUGUAGUACGAACUUCAAUCAGAACAUUGAGUAACAUUGGGGGUUCAUAGAAGGGCACAUCUGCAUUUUUUCAUGCAGUAUUCAUUGUAUAAAAAGUUAAAUCACAAAAAUACUGAAUUCCGAGGAAAAUUCAAAACGGAAAGUCCAUUCAAAUGCAGUGGUCAUAG
Molecule: long non-coding RNA, 762 nt
Organism: Mytilus trossulus (common blue mussel)
Lineage: Eukaryota; Metazoa; Mollusca; Bivalvia; Mytilida; Mytilidae
Exons: 4
Source: RefSeq, a predicted model, not a curated record